This 817-nucleotide small RNA is filed under the name Pongo abelii (Sumatran orangutan). Its description in RNAcentral is "processed transcript". The record is from RNAcentral. Lineage: Eukaryota; Metazoa; Chordata; Mammalia; Primates; Hominidae.
AUCUUGCGUACGGAGGUGAGGUUUGUUACCGCGAUUCUGAGAGGUGGGCUUUUAGUCCCUCCAGACCUCGGCUUUAGUGCUGUGUCUCCACUUUCCUUUCACCUUCACAGAGGUUCGUGUCUUCCUAAAAGAAGGUUUUAUUGGGAGGUAAAGGUCAAUGCGUAGGGGUAGAGUAAGAAUUCUGCUUGGUCAGAAUCGUGAUGGCAUUGUGUUCAGCACUGAUGACUAUUUUCACCAUCAAGAUGGGUACAGGUAUAAUGUUAAUCAACUUGGUGAUGCCCAUGACUGGAACCAGAACAGAGGAGGAAUAAACAUGGUGUGUCUCGAAAGAAGAUUGCUCAGAUGUUGGAUCGUUAUGAAUAUCAAAUGUCCAUUUCUAUUGUAAUGAAUUCAGUGGAACCAUCACACAAAAGCACACAAAGACCUCCUCCUCCACAGGGGAGACAGAGGUGGGGAGGCUCUCUUGGCUCACAUAAUCAUGUCUGUGUCACAAGUAAUCAUUAAAUUAGCUAUUUUCAGCUAACACAUUUGUUGUCGCACUUGAAAAAGAGUUAGUGAGCCUGUCUUGGAGUUUAAAUAGUUUCAAAUAAAAAAAGGCUACAUUGCCUCACAAAGAUGUUCCCAGCAAGUUGUUUAAAUUCCCAGCAAGUUGUUAAAGUGUAAAUAAAAAUAUAUGAAAUUGUAUUUUAAAUGUUUUUAUAUUCUCUUAUUGUAAUACUCUUGGCUGUUAUGGAAACACCUGAGUAGUAGAGUGGUGGGUAGGAGCUAGGAUGUUUUUCUACAAUCAAAUUUUAAACUAAUUUAUCUAUUUUAUAGA